UUCUUUCCUAAAUGAUUUGAAACAUUUAGGUGUGGCAAAAAUACAACAAUAGAGCUAACUAAUCCUUAAAGGGAGAAACGUGGCUGAGUUAAGACUACAUUCACAUUCAGGCCUUGCACACACAGAGCCGAGUCUUUCUAAAAACAAAAAUCUCCAGCACAUCAUGUAAAAAAACAUGCACGAUACCGGUUUCAGAAAAGAUAUCAUCCUCAUCACUGAGUGUUGAUUUAAACAUGCCAAACCUUUAGGGGGCAGUAUAGCCCAAAGCUAAAACCGAUUCUAGUCAACGGGGUAUAUGCCACGGACUUCCGUUUUAGCACUUCCGCAUUUUUUUGCCACAAAGAAUGGUUCCGGUGCACAGGCAACAGUAUGUUAACUGUGGCUCCUCGGUCGCUGCAGGACUAUUUAUGUUGCUUAUAUAAUUAUUCAGACGUCCUGAAACGCUCCAACAACAACAAAGGAUUUAAGCUGGAUGUGUCAAAACGUCACUAUAACUUCGAAGUUGGAGUUGAACAGGAGUUCUGUUUGAUGGCUUCCUGGAGGGAGGGAUCGGCUGAGCUAAUGUUGUCAACAACUUUUCUCCUGCUAUUAACUUUUUUGCUUUUCUUUAUAUAGAAAGUAUUUCUAUCA
Molecule: long non-coding RNA, 630 nt
Organism: Poecilia latipinna (sailfin molly)
Lineage: Eukaryota; Metazoa; Chordata; Actinopteri; Cyprinodontiformes; Poeciliidae
Exons: 2
Source: RefSeq, a predicted model, not a curated record